This 85-nucleotide transfer RNA is filed under the name Clostridia bacterium. Its description in RNAcentral is "tRNA-Tyr". It matches the Rfam family "tRNA". From Rfam's summary of the family: Transfer RNA (tRNA) molecules are approximately 80 nucleotides in length. Their secondary structure includes four short double-helical elements and three loops (D, anti-codon, and T loops). Further hydrogen bonds mediate the characteristic L-shaped molecular structure. tRNAs have two regions of fundamental functional importance: the anti-codon, which is responsible for specific mRNA codon recognition, and the 3' end, to which the tRNAs corresponding amino acid is attached (by aminoacyl-tRNA synthetases). tRNAs cope with the degeneracy of the genetic code in two manners: having more than one tRNA (with a specific anti-codon) for a particular amino acid; and 'wobble' base-pairing, i.e. permitting non-standard base-pairing at the 3rd anti-codon position. Lineage: Bacteria; Bacillati; Bacillota; Clostridia. The record is from RNAcentral.
GGGGAGGUUCCCGAGUGGCCAAAGGGGGCAGACUGUAAAUCUGUUAGCUACGCUUUCGAUGGUUCGAAUCCAUCUCUCCCCACCA